RNAcentral lists this ribosomal RNA (549 nucleotides) under uncultured Glomeromycotina. RNAcentral describes it as "SSU rRNA". It matches the Rfam family "Eukaryotic small subunit ribosomal RNA", at positions 548 to 1098 of the family's 1831-position model. The record is from RNAcentral. Lineage: Eukaryota; Fungi; Glomeromycota.
UUGGAGGGCAAGUCUGGUGCCAGCAGCCGCGGUAAUUCCAGCUCCAAUAGCGUAUAUUAAAGUUGUUGCAGUUAAAAAGCUCGUAGUUGAAUUUCGAGAUCAGUACGCUGGUCGUGCCUUCGGUAUGCACUGGUGUCACUGGUUUCUCCCUUCUGAAGAACCGUCAUGCCAUUCAGUUGGUGUGGCGGGGAAUCAGGACUGUUACUUUGAAAAAAUUAGAGUGUUUAAAGCAGGCUCGCGCUUGAAUACAUUAGCAUGGAAUAAUGAAAUAGGACGUUUGACCCUAUUUUGUUGGUUUCUAGGAUCGACGUAAUGAUUAAUAGGGAUAGUUGGGGGCAUUAGUAUUCAAUUGUCAGAGGUGAAAUUCUUGGAUUUAUUGAAGACUAACUACUGCGAAAGCAUUUGCCAAGGAUGUUUUCAUUAAUCAAGAACGAAAGUUAGGGGAUCGAAGACGAUCAGAUACCGUCGUAGUCUUAACCAUAAACUAUGCCGACUAGGGAUCGGAUGAUGCUAAUUUUUUAAUGACUCAUUCGGCGCCUUACGGGAAAC